RNAcentral lists this long non-coding RNA (347 nucleotides) under Zea mays. RNAcentral's name for it is "long non-coding RNA (ZMAY_LNC001060)". The record is from RNAcentral. Lineage: Eukaryota; Viridiplantae; Streptophyta; Magnoliopsida; Poales; Poaceae.
CGGCUAGGAGCAGCGCCAGAAGUGGCAAGGCGGAUAGAUCAAACAUCAAGCAGUGCCCCCGCGUGGAUUUGUGGGGAGAAGGUGUCAGCAGUAGCACGCAGGUGGGGAAGGGAGCGGUCGAGCAAAGGGUGGGUGUCACCAGCAGCAACACAAGGUUGGUGGUGAUGAUGUCCCGUGGAAAGAGGUGAACUUACCCCAGCGGAGGUUGCUGGUGAUGAUGUCCCGCGGAAGGCGAUCGGUGGAGGGGCCGCGGCGAUGGAGAUCGCAUGCAGCGCCGCCAUCUGUGCGAGACGAGAGGAAGAACGAGCCGGGAUACUCGCCCAACGACGAGCGAGCAGCAUACUGCG